Molecule: long non-coding RNA, 328 nt
Organism: Halichondria panicea
Lineage: Eukaryota; Metazoa; Porifera; Demospongiae; Suberitida; Halichondriidae
Exons: 2
Source: RefSeq, a predicted model, not a curated record
CCAACAUCAGAGAAUGAGAUGAUCUCUCCAGUGUGGUCAGUGCCAUCACCGAAUUCAUUGGAUGCUGCCAGUCCAGCUGUAUGCCAAAAUACAAUAAUUGAUGCUCUGAUACCAAACCUAUAAUACUUGUUUCAUCUACUAUCCAAUAGCACAGAGGCUGCUGUCCAUACACAAGAGAAGCACUUCCCAGCAGACAGCAGAGAAAUAACCUUGAGGGGAACAUUCUCAUUAUUCUUGUAGCCAAGAGUUCAUUAUUCAUCCUAUAUUAAACUCUUGCUAGGUUAGCUGAUAUAUAUUGCUCAAAAUUAAUUAAUUGCAUUCUUGAGAA